AAGGAAACUCUUGUUUAGCAUUAGCAAGUAACAAAUCAUAAUUAGUAUGUGCCUCAGAAAAUGACUCCUGCAACACUUGAAAAAACUAGAGUGUUUAUUUCCUACAUUUAAGUCCAAACUCAAACUGGCAAACUGUGUUGAUAAAUUAACGGAGAGACGUUUCCACUGAGAAUAAAUUAAAGGCAACCCUGGAAAUAUUCCUUUUUAGGUUCUUCCACAUCAAACAAUAGCAUAUAACAAUGUAUUAGACUAUGCCUCUUGCUCAGUUGUUUCAAAUUUACACACAUUGGGUGAGGCUGUGAAUGCCGAUAACAAUAAAACAAGCCUCUGCUUUUCAAGCAUUUAAAAUUUUUCUCAAUCUCAGUUAAUAACCUCAAACAGUGAGUGAGAAUAAACUAGUGUUUAUGUGCAUAUAUGAAAAUUAGGUUUUUCAGACUUGUGGCCGCCAAGGGAGAGGGAGUGGGGUGGACUGGGAAUCUGCGGUUAGUAGACACAAACCACUACAUUUAGAAUGGAUAAGCAGUGAAGUCCUACUGUACAGCCCAGGGAACUAUACACAAUCUCUGGGGAUGGAACGUGACGGAAGAUGGAAUGAGAAGAGGAACGUGUAUGUGUGUGUGUGCGUGUAUGGGACAGGUCGCUUUGCUGUACAGCAGAAAUUGGCACAUCAUAAAUCGACUACACCUUAAUAAAAAAGAAAACUAUGUGCUUCUAUUUACAGAGUUGUGUUAACACUCUGCACAUACUCAGACUAGGCUUUACUGCUUCUUCUAUGAUUCGGAAGAUGAAGUUGAUGAACAGUAAGGUUGGAAUAGCUGGCAGGUGUAGAUUCCACAUGCUGCUAUAUUUACUUACAUAAUUUUCCCUUUUUCUUGGUUGCUAUUCUCUCCUUAAAAGAGGAGGAACGAGCAGGAUCAUGAGUGUCUAAGUCUGGUUCACACUUGAGAGUUUCGCCUCCACCUUCCAAAGGAGAGCAACUCACGUGGUGCAACGUUCAUCAAAAUGUGAGUUCGCUAAUGUUUUUCUCUUCCUUCAGCAAUUUUCCUCAUUCCUAAAAAGUACCUCCUAGAGUGAAAUAACACUUGAAAUGAGCAUGCCUGUUUAUGUGUUAAAGACAGAUGGAGGAGAAAGAAAAGGGAUAAUUAAAAGGAGACGAGAUGGAAAAUAUAUUGACAUUUAAAUGUUCUUUCCACUCAAACGUUCAUCCUCCAUUCCUUUCCUUUGCGCUAAGAUGAAGGAAGCAGUGGGGACAUUCCUUGUUCUAGUUCAUAUCUGGUACCUCCCAUCAGCUCACUGUCAGGUUAAUAAUCUGCCUCUCCAACAGGGGAAUAAGAAAAAAAUAGGAUGAUGACCAGAGAAGGACGGGGGAAAGUGAAGGACAGAAGAGGAGAGUUAGUGCUGACUUGGGCUUCUCAUGGAAGGACCAGAGAGGACUUAUUUAAUUCCGUCAUUUAUCAUCCUAUGUAGGUAUAGACAUUCUAUUACCAGAGCCUCCAUCAGCCGUGUGGCUGCUGAUGGGGGGGGGGUGUACCAUAUACAGCACAUCAUGGAUCUAUGACCUGAAAGAGAGACAUAGAGGAAGAUGAUGAUGAUGAUGGACAGAACUAUAGAUGGGAUAUUGAGGGGGAUACAGAUAGAAAAAUAAGAGGGACUUAUGAAAAGGACCAAAGAAUUUGAAUAAGAGGAAAACCUAUCAAGGAGAUCCUGCAAUGAGAUUCGAAAAUAAGGACAAUCAUCUGAAUUUAAUAGCAAGGUAAGUUUUUAAUCUUUUACUUUUGUGCACAUUUUUUAAGUUUGUAGCCAAAGGAAGGAAGAACAGUGUAUAGAACAGUGUAUAGAGAUGCACUGGGAAUAUUAUGAGCCAGACGUGUGUGUGUGUGUAUCUGAUAUGAGACUGUAUUUUUAUGAAAAAUGUAUAGUUCAGGCCAAGGUCAUGGUCUAUUGCUGCAAAUCACGUUGUGUCCUAAACAUACACUGAAAGGAUAGAUUAGCCAGUUGUUUUUUUCUAUUCCAUAAAUUGCUUCAUGGGAUCCAAGAAUCUAACUGAAAGUCAUGCAAGAACUGUCUGUUCAAGGUCUAUUCCAUCCAUUUCCUCCUGUGUCCUAUUCCACGGGCACAUGCAACCUGCUGUCUUCUUUCACACUGUCUACUUUAGGAUAUGUGGGCAAGAAACCCUGUAGUUUGAAGGCCAGUCGUUCAAAAUUCCAAGAUUUGCGAGUUGCAAUCAGAUUCUGUCCCCACAAAGACAUUCUGACCCUGAGUCGUAAGUUCUCUGCCCACUCGCGUCGACGGCACACGAGGACCGCGCUCAUCAUUCCUUGAUACGGUUGAGAACAAAAUGCAGGCGGCAAAGAAAAAUUCUCCUCACCCUCCAAAGUCACUCCCCCUAGACCUCUGACCACCCUGACUCUGCUGGGUCAGGCCACCUGCCCCGUAUCUCUCUCUGCCCAUCACUCCUGACAGCACAGCACAGCCAGACGGGUUCCCCUGUGCAGUGCGUCUCGAGAUUUCGGUGAUGGAUCAGCACCUCACUCCACUGGCGAUGACUACGUGUACAACGAUUAUAUUCACCAGCCAGAAAGUGGAAACCAAGCAGGGUCAGGGCAGGACCAGGCUAAAGUCCUCUUCCCUCAUCUCAUUCCUCAACCCUCUUACCAUAAACCAGGUGUUUUGAAAGACCAGACACAAAAAGGCCAGUUGGUAACCCACUCUUGCAGCUUACCAGGAAGAACAAUGCGCCUGAUGAAAUUAUAUUAUUGGAACCACUGGAGGUCUCUUUGCCAGAAUUACAGGCUAAAGCCACCAUUCCGAAAAAAUCUAAAAGGUGGUGGGGGUGGUGAGAUAAGGUGGGGGAGGAGAGAGAGAAUGGGGGUGGAGAGGGAGGGUGGCGGAGGCGAGGGAGGGAGGGGAGAGAGGGGGAGAGAGAGUGGGGGUGGAGAGGGAGGGGGGGGGAGGCGAGGGAGGGAGAGGAGAGAGGGUGGGGGUGGGGAGAGCUUGGGGGUGGGGAGAGAAGGGAGGAGAGGGGAGGGGAGGGAGGGGAGGGGAGAGAGAAGGUCCAAGAGGUGAGAGAACUUGGGGGUGUGAAUGUGAGAGGGAGACUGGAACCCAAGAAGCAGCUUUUCCACCUCUGCUCACUUCCCCUGCCCUCCCCUCCCAUCUGGAAGCCAGAACCAGGGCCCCGACAGAGCUGCUGAGGGACACGGGGCAGGAGCAGCUGGUGCGACCCUCCAUCCCACAGCUGUGAUACCAGCAAUUUCCUCUCCAACGACAGGCUCACUGACUCAAGCACGUUGUAUUCUCGGUACCAUGUCAUGUUUCCCUCAUGAAGUGUUCUAUUCCCUUUAAAGUUAAAUACAUUCAAACGUCCUAUUCUUCCAGUAUCCCCACUUGGGUCUCAUCAGUAGGUCCCUUCUAAGACUCACUUGAAAUGUCAUCAGGAAGUAGGGUUAUCCAGAGAUUUCCCUGGCCAAGCACUCAAUGAAGAGAUUUCCCCUGCGCGUGAGACUGCAGAAUUUCACUCAGGUGUCUCCAGAGUGCCCACUCUCAUACAAACACACACCCACGGGUACAGCCCUUUCUAUCAGCUGGAGACCAAAUCACACCCGUAUUCGCUUCCUUGUGUGUAAGAUGCACUGUGCUGGAUUAUACGGGUAUUGAAAUGAGCAAGAAAGAGACACAGCUCUCACAGGCUAUACAUCAUGAUUUACGUCGUUGGUCCUUUUGGUGUUGGCCGUCCAGGUCACUGCUAAGAGACUGAGCUCUGGAGUCUAGGCACACCACCUCCAGUGUCUCCUUCCUCUAAAGAGACUUGGGCAGGCAUGGCACCUACCUUGAGCCAGUUUUCCCUAAUCUGUGAAUUGAGGAGCAUGGCACCACCCAUCUCACAGGGUGAUGGUGAGAGUCAGAUGGGAUGAUGGGUAUGUAUAAAUGCUUGUCAGGGAUUCUGUCAAGUAAGUCCUUAAAAAGGUGAAUGGGCUGAACAUAUAUUUUUUUGUGGAAAGAGCAAGAACUGUGCCACUGAGUAGCCCUGACUUCAACCCCAGCUCCAGCACCGACCUGUUAAAUGACCUUGAGCACGUUGCUUAGGGCUUCUCUAGACCUGCCUCCUUCUGUCUACAACUGGCCUGUCCACAGGGAUGAUGGAAAGAUGGGACAUGAAGCAGUUCCCGUCAUGGCGCAGUGGUUAACGAAUCCGACUAGGAACCAGGAGGUGUAGGUUCGAUCCCUGCCCUUGCUCAGUGGGUUAACAAUCCGGCGUUGCCAUGAGCUGUGGUGUAGGUCACAGAUGAGGCUUGGAUCUGGUGAUGCUGUGGCUCUGGUGUAGGCCAGUGGCUACAGCUUUGAUUAGACCCCUAGCCUGGGAAUCUCCGUGUGCUGCAGGUGUGGCCCUAGAAAAAGACAAAAAAAAAAAAAAAAAAAAAAAA
Molecule: long non-coding RNA, 4424 nt
Filed under: Sus scrofa (pig)
Lineage: Eukaryota; Metazoa; Chordata; Mammalia; Artiodactyla; Suidae
Description: lncRNA (ENSSSCG00055001369.1)
Source: RNAcentral